Molecule: small nuclear RNA, 156 nt
Organism: Colossoma macropomum (tambaqui)
Lineage: Eukaryota; Metazoa; Chordata; Actinopteri; Characiformes; Serrasalmidae
Product: U1 spliceosomal RNA
Exons: 1
Source: RefSeq, a predicted model, not a curated record
CGCCUUACAAUAUGAUCAUGAUCACGAAGGUGGUUCACCCAGGGCGAGGCUCUGCUGUUGCACUUCAGUUGUGCUCACCUUUACAAAUUUCCCAAAUACAGAAAUCUCGACUGCAUGAUUUCUGGUAGUGGGGGACUGCAUUCACGCUCUCUCCUG